Vicugna pacos (alpaca) is the source of this 1558-nucleotide non-coding RNA. NCBI's taxonomy places the organism in Eukaryota, Metazoa, Chordata, Mammalia, Artiodactyla, Camelidae. The record is from RefSeq and is a predicted model, not a curated record.
GGGGGGGGGGCUGGGUGGGAGACAGGUAGAUAAGGGGACCCAGCGGGCAGAGCCUGGUGGGUGGAAACCCUGAUGCCUUGUGACUUUGGGCAAGAGUCUCUCCCUUUCUGAUCCCUUAGCCUGCCCUGUGGAAUGUUUCACUGAUAGAGGACCCAUGUGUUGUGGGCAACCAUGUUGUCUUAAGGAUGUCCCCUGGGAACUCCAAACGGGCCCCAAAUUCCACUUGAAUUACAGCCAGAUCUCUUCCUGACGGGGCCCUAUCUCACUCUCGGCACAGCCUGUGUCUCAUGAUAGCCGUAAAAGGCUGGGGAAGGUCUUUCCUUCAGGGGCCUCACCCGUGUCUUGAAAUUCUCCGUCCUGGGCACAGCCCUUAAAGUUGGAAACGUGCACCACCCCAGAGGGGGCACAGUGAUGGGGUUUGGAGCUCAAAAUCUGAAACCCCUUGCUCAGUGCUGCCCGCCACCCCACCCCCAGCUGUGUGAUCUUAGGCAAUAUGUUUAACUUCUCUGAGCCUUGCUUUCCUCAUUGGUAAAAUGGGGAUAUGGUAACAAAAUCUACCUCAAAGAGGAGGGGCGAGGGUAUAGCUCAGUGGUAGAGUGUAUGGUUAGCAUGCACCAAAUCCUCGGUUCAGUCCCCAUUCCCUCCAUUACAAUAAAUAAAUAAACUUAAUUACCUCCCUCCCAAAUAAAAUUUAAAAAAUAUAUACACCUCACAGAGCUGUGAAAUGUCAGUGAGAUGAUAAUAGUAGUAGUCAGUUAUCAUCGUCAUCUUUAUCAUCAUGGUGGCAGCAGGUAGACAUUAGUAUUACCCUCAUGUUAAAGGUGAGCAACUUGAGGCACAGAGAGGUUAAGUAACCUUCCCAGGGUUGCACAGCUUGCAGGUGGAAGAGUGGGGAUUAGAACCCAGGCACUCUGCUGCCAUCAGUGGUGCUCUUCCUCACUGUUUCAUAAAGGGUUGUGAUGGUAAAUGUUUAACAAGUGGAUCUCCAUGGGCUGAAAGUCCACAUUUUAGCAUUUGCUCAUGUCUGUGGUGUAGAUACUCCCACUACACUGAUUUCUUUUUCUUUCUUUCUUAUUUUUCUCUGAGUGGAGAGAGGUAAUCAGGUUUAUUUAUUUUUAAUUUUUUUUUUAACGAAGGUGCUGGGGAUUGAACACAGGACCUCAUGUAUGCUAGGCAGGAGUUCUACCACUGAGCUACACCCUACCUCCCCUCUCCCUGAUGAUUUCAAACUACCCGUGUGAUGACCCUACACUUGGGGUCGGGAAAGGAUGUGCUGAGUUGGCUCUCGGAAGUCUCCAGCCCUCCAUGGGCUACGUACCCUCCCUCUUCAGUCAUGUUAUCCCAGUGUCUCACACUACAUAACAUGUCGCUAAUGUUCUUUUUCCCUCCUUUUUUCUUCCCCACCACACGUCCACUCAUAAUUGGGGAUCCACUCAUACUUUUUGAGGAGCUCCAGUUACCUAAGUUGUUACUUAUUAGAUAGUGGUCAUAGGAUGGUCUCUAAAAUUUUUAAAUAAAAUACACCAUGGAGGAGAGAGCAUGUGAAAACAAUUAGUUG